UUUCCGUAGGUGAGUUGAGCGGUUUUUCCCCAUAACAUGCAUGUGAAGAAGUGAAGCUAACAAUAUCCUAUAGGUGAACCUGCGGAAGGAUCAUU
This 95-nucleotide ribosomal RNA is filed under the name Candelariella terrigena. Its description in RNAcentral is "partial 18S ribosomal RNA". The record is from RNAcentral. Lineage: Eukaryota; Fungi; Ascomycota; Candelariomycetes; Candelariales; Candelariaceae.